RNAcentral lists this ribosomal RNA (492 nucleotides) under uncultured bacterium. RNAcentral's name for it is "partial 16S ribosomal RNA". It matches the Rfam family "Bacterial small subunit ribosomal RNA", at positions 29 to 507 of the family's 1533-position model. The record is from RNAcentral.
AGUGAACGCUGGCGGUAGGCCUAACACAUGCAAGUCGAACGGCAGCACAGUAAGAGCUUGCUCUUACGGGUGGCGAGUGGCGGACGGGUGAGGAAUACAUCGGAAUCUACUUUUUCGUGGGGGAUAACGUAGGGAAACUUACGCUAAUACCGCAUACGACCUACGGGUGAAAGCAGGGGAUCUUCGGACCUUGUGCGAUUGAAUGAGCCGAUGUCGGAUUAGCUAGUUGGCGGGGUAAAGGCCCACCAAGGCGACGAUCCGUAGCUGGUCUGAGAGGAUGAUCAGCCACACGGGAACUGAGACACGGUCCAGACUCCGACGGGAGGCAGCAGUGGGGAAUAUUGGACAAUGGGCGAAAGCCUGAUCCAGCCAUACCGCGUGGGUGAAGAAGGCCUUCGGGUUGGAAAGCCCUUUUGUUGGGAAAGAAAAGCAGCAGGUUAAUACCCCGCUGUUCUGACGGUACCCAAAGAAUAAGCACCGGCUAACUUCGUG